UGCCGGCAAAGCGCUCCCGCAUCCCACAGCUCCCACCCUGCCGCCGAGAGGUGUGCCCGCGGGUGGCCACGAGGAAUAAAAGCAACUGAGCCCCCCCAUCCUGUGCCUCACCACCCGCCGGCAGGGUCCCAGGGAGCCCAGCACAUCUCUGGGACAAGCCGAGCACAUCCUCAUCCUCACCCGAGAGGACUAUCCCAGCUGGAUUUCACCCGAGGCUGGAUUUUGCCGUUCCUCUGCCCGGUUUCCCAGGCAGGCAGGUAACCGGAGCCGGCACCCGCAGCACUCCCAGAGACUCCAAAAGGCUCUUCACAAUGACUGCCGGCCUGGAGAAAGCCUGCCACCGGUGCAUAUCUAAAAUUGCCAGCAAUGCAUACUUUAUAUUUGGGCUCCUCGCUUUCCUUGCCUUACCACUCUCCAUGACUUUUACAGGAAUGAAGUUUUUGGAAGAUUGCCCAGUUCAGCCACUAAUUCCAUUAUAUCUGCUGGUGGGUGGCGUGAUUGGCAGCUUAAAGGUAAUGUGCCUUCUGUGUGCGAGAAAUAUUUUGUGUGCUUAGACUUUGACUUGCUAGUUAAGACAUAAUGAUGGCUCCAGACAGCUAUGUGCAUGCGGUACUGCAGACAGCUAUGGGGAUUGAACUGUGCUUGUUCCAGCACCUAAA
This is a long non-coding RNA of Calidris pugnax (ruff), 659 nucleotides long. RefSeq lists it as uncharacterized. The transcript has 4 exons. NCBI's taxonomy places the organism in Eukaryota, Metazoa, Chordata, Aves, Charadriiformes, Scolopacidae. The record is from RefSeq and is a predicted model, not a curated record.